Dichotomopilus funicola is the source of this 95-nucleotide non-coding RNA. Lineage: Eukaryota; Fungi; Ascomycota; Sordariomycetes; Sordariales; Chaetomiaceae. The record is from the annotation of a RefSeq genome assembly.
GGUGUGUUUGGCCCAGCGGCAUUGGGAGUAGGUCUGGGCGCGCCAACUGCCGUCGUAAAUCGAAAUGGCCCCGGGUUCGAUUCCCGGGGCCAUCG